RNAcentral lists this long non-coding RNA (2826 nucleotides) under Olea europaea subsp. europaea. Lineage: Eukaryota; Viridiplantae; Streptophyta; Magnoliopsida; Lamiales; Oleaceae. The record is from RNAcentral.
GGUUAGAUCUGGGCUCAAUUCAGCUGACGGAUCAAUGUAACUCGCAGUUCUGUUGGUAAUAUACUAUGUUUUAAAAUUAUUUUAGCUUUAUUUCUAUGUUCAUAUAAUGAAUAAGACUUUCAUGUUGCUGUCUUGCUCAUAUUUGUAAUCAGCAGAUCUGUUGUUGAUAUCUGCUUUUUAUGAAAUUGUUAAUGUUUUUUAGUUUUUUGCAGGAUAAAGAAAUGGCUUCUGCUGACAAUUCGUUGCAGUUUACGCUCUUUUUAUGGUAUCUAUCCUCGUCAUGGUGUCCGAGCAGAGACAUCUAUUCUUGUUGAUGCUCAAGGCCCGAAAUCAUUUGCGGAUGCUGGAUGAUGGACUUAGAAAGGAUAAAAAUUCUGUCUACAUGGAUACAAGGUUCUAACAUGUUUAAUGGCUUUCAUAAUUAUGAUUCAUUUAAUGUUAAUUCGAAAAAAUGAGCUAGAAGUAGUUGUGACAAGAUAUUUAGAAAAGAGAGGCUAUGUGUAAGAAAAGAGUGGCUUAUGUUCGUCUCGCCGACCUUUGCCAUGUCGGGUGCGCUCACAUGGCAGGUCAAAAGCUCAAUAAAAUACAUAAUAUUUUUGAUUUUGAGGAGAGAUGGUACGGGGAUUUUUGCCCGGCUCUCUCCGCGUGUGGUGUCUUUUUAUUCUUUUCCUUUCUCUCCUCGUUCUCGUUUCUAUUGCUGCGAUAAUUUUAUUUCUGUUUGGUCCUUGAAUGGGUUGGGGCCUUUUCCUGUGUUACAAAGAUGUCAUGAAACCCGUUCAAGGAUAAAGCAUAAUUUAUUUUUUUCCCGGAGCAAAGUCACCAGUAAGUCGCCAAUGCCAGAAUGGGUCUUCUCAAGUAUCAACGAUUUCCCAAGGUACAAUGUUAGAUAUUUAUUAGCUAGCAUCUGAUUGAUUAAAAACAUUUCAAACUUACAAUUGUUUAGCCAUUCCAUCUCAUAUUAAAGUUGAGCGGUUAGAUAGGAAAGCUAUGUCUGCAAAAAUUAGGCUUUAUUUUGUGUUUCAAGAUUUAGCAGUUUUUGAUAAAAAGUUUGUUAAAAUGUGGAGAACAUAAACGCUGCUUGUCCCGAGAUGUUUUUGAUAAACUUUCAGCCAUGAUAUUUUUUAUUAAACAAGCUACAUAUUAACUUGCUUAAUAUAUUGGUAUUUUCUUGACCAUGUACCCAACUUCUUGCAAUCUCAUGAUUUGAUGGGUAACUUCUCGGAAUAUCCUUACUAUCUUGGAUUUUGGGUAAACACUCAAUUGAAAGCUUAAGAAUUUUUGAAUGGUGAUCAUUUAUUUCGUCCAUCUAUAAUUAAAUACCAUUCCUGAAUUUGCCGAAGAAUAGAAAGGCUCAAAUCAAUUUGUUGUCAUAAUGUUUUGGUGAACGUCAAACAUGGUUAUUUGGCAAAUCCAAUUUUACCGGAGAUAUCAUAAAUAUGUUUCACAUGUAAUUUACAUAUGGCAAUGUUAACAAAAUUAUCUUAUCUACUAUCCCGAUCCUGAAUUCGUAACAUUCACUAUGAAGAUCAAUCCUGAGCAACUAACAAUUUUCGCUUCAAUUCAGUUGUAUAGUACAAAGUACGAGCGGAAUUUAUUGCUUGUUGUAGCUUUAUUUUUCCUGGUCCUAUACAUAUAUGAAUCUUAUUCGUACUGUUUUUUACCUGGUGUUGAAUUUAUUUUGUCAUUCUUGGGUCAUUAUCCUGCUGGAGUGUAUUGUAGAUUUAUUGGUAUUGACCAGAAGCCUUCUUUCUGUAAUGUAAUUGAAGGCCAUUACGCAUGGUAUGUAGAUGAGGAAUGCAGAUCUUUUUGAUUUAUACACUAGAUCAGCGUUUCUCCAUUUUCCUUCCAUGGGAAAAUGUUUGCAACUUUUUGUGUCAUGUUGGUUUGGAUUGCCUCACGGAGUGGAAAUACAUGAAGAUGAUCCUGUUUGUUUUUGCUGUUGAUCCGCUGCUGCUGCCUCUGCCUCUGCCUCUGCCUCUGCCUCUGCUGCUGCUGCUGCUGCUAUUGCUAAACUUGAUACUUCAAGAUGCCUCAUCCUUCAAAGCAUCUAGAACCUGUGGAUUGCGAUGAAUGUUUGUGAUAUAUCUCAUUUAAUGCUUGUGCCAUGUUCAUUCCUUUGUGCUGUCCCUGCAAACUUGCUGAAGGUGCGUGCUGCUGCUGCUUGAUAUCUAUGAUUUGGCCAGUCCUGUGUUACAAUAUGCACAGGCUGAUCAUCAAAAUUCUUCACUCUUGAUACUGUUUUAGUGAACUGUUAAUCCUAUAAACGAUGCUAUUUGUUGAGUUCCUCAUUCACAAACUGGUGGCCAUAAAUGGUGUUAAUGUUCAUGACGGUUGUUGAUAUGGAUCUUGUAUCGCUUUGCUUCUGCACUAUAAGUUGUUUAUGUCGAUAAUUAUUCGAGGCGGUUGAUCAGUUACAGUUAUUUGAUGUAGUUCAUGGUAAUGGUAAUGGAUUUUUUUAGUGGAUUUAAUUGCGAUUUUUUUAGCGUUUAAUGUCUUAAUUUCUAUCUUAUGUUUUUGUAGGUGGACUUGGGAUCUAUUUCGUUGUGUUUAUAGGGAUGAACAUUAGCCUUGGGAGAAAGUUAAGUGAGGUACAUGUCCAAGGCGCUGUUUUAAAACCACUGUAAGUGGGAAUACAUUUAUAAUUGUAUUUACAAGUAAUAUAUAGUCGAGAAAUUUGCGUGUUGAGGUUUUGAUUAUUUUAUGUAUUUAGAGGAGAAAAUAAGCUAUGAAUGUUUAGUAGUUUUCCUUAUCCCUAAGAACUGUCGACCAAACAUACACUGCCUUGAGGCGGGUACCUGCUCGAUGCGUAUCUCAAAUUGCGUUGUC